AUCUUCCACUCGUGAAAUCCGGUUCUGCUCGCCGCCCGCAACCAUCUAAUGAUCGCUGUCUACGUUGUAUUAGCC
RNAcentral lists this small RNA (75 nucleotides) under Xanthomonas citri pv. anacardii. Its description in RNAcentral is "sX9 sRNA". It matches the Rfam family "Xanthomonas sRNA sX9". Lineage: Bacteria; Pseudomonadati; Pseudomonadota; Gammaproteobacteria; Lysobacterales; Lysobacteraceae. RNAcentral also lists the same sequence under 1 other name. The record is from RNAcentral.